UACGAAGGGGGCUAGCGUUGCUCGGAAUCACUGGGCGUAAAGGGUGCGUAGGCGGGUCUUUAAGUCAGGGGUGAAAUCCUGGAGCUCAACUCCAGAACUGCCUUUGAUACAGCAAGUCUUGAGUUCGAGAGAGGUGGGUGGAAUUCCUAGUGUAGAGGUGAAAUUCGUAGAUAUUAGGAAGAACACCGGUGGCGAAGGCGGCCCACUGGCUCGACACUGACGCUGAGGCGCGAAAGCCAGGGGAGCAAACGGG
RNAcentral lists this ribosomal RNA (253 nucleotides) under uncultured bacterium. Its description in RNAcentral is "partial 16S ribosomal RNA". It matches the Rfam family "Bacterial small subunit ribosomal RNA", at positions 524 to 776 of the family's 1533-position model. The record is from RNAcentral.